CUUCAUUCAACUCUACAGCACCACCUUCAUUCAACUCUACAGCACCACCUAAAAUCAACUCAACAGCACCACCUUCAUUUAAUUCUACAGCACCACCUCAAAUUAACUCUGCUGCACCACCUUCAUUUAAUUCUACAGCACCACCUCUUUUUAACUCUACAGCACUAGCUAAUAUCAACUCCACAGCGCCAGCUUCAUUCAAUUCUACAACACCAGCUAAAAUCAACUCCACAGCGCCACCUCCAUUCGACUCUACCACAGGCUUUCCCAAAGAUGUUCUUACAAUACUGACUAAUCUGGAGGUGGAGGUUUUGGCUGAAGAUUCAUCCACUGAAGAAGAGCGUCAGGCUGCACUGCGUCAGGUUGCCACUUUGGUGGAGAACUACUUAAGAGGAGAUUAUAAUGACAUCUCCUCCUUUGAGGUCACAAGAAUUGAGCCGUUAACACCCUGUGAUUGAGUCAGAAAUCAGCCAAGAUGAACAGAGAUGAAUACAUCUGCACAUAUACUGGACUUUAAUUAUUUUACCACACUGUAAAACCCAAUAUGUUAAGGUAACUCAAACCAUUUGAGUUCAAAACUAAUCCAAAUGAGUACUGUGAACUUAAUCCAUUUGAGUAAAUGAAGCGAUAUGAGCACAGUGAAACCCUAUAAAUGAAGAGAACUCAAACCAACUGAGUACUGUAAAAACCCAAUAAGUUAAGGCAACUCAAAUCGUUUGAGGCAACCGAUUGCUACAAACCAUUUGAGUUAAAAAAACUAAUCGAUAUGAGUAUUGUCAACUUACUCUAUUUAAGUUGAAGUAAUGAGGUAUUUAAUUAACUUAUUGCCUUCAAAACUGAGUUCAAAACUCUCAUACAUUAAUUCAGUCUCACAUCAUCAGACGUCAUUCAUUCAAUUUCUUUUCGGCUUAUUCCCUUUAUUAAUCCGGGGUCGCCACAGCGGAAUGAACCGCCAACUUAUCCAGCACGUUUUACGCAGCGGAUGCCCUUCCAGCCGCAACCCAUCUCUGGGGAAAAAAAAACUCUUUUCAAAUGAGUAGAAUUAACUUUCUGUAAAUUUUGAGUUAACUACACUUCAUUUCAUAAGGUUGACUGUUGGGUUUUACAGUGUAAGAUUUCUGAUUAUUUACGGUGACUGUUUAACAAAAACAUUGCACUU
This is a long non-coding RNA of Danio aesculapii, 1159 nucleotides long. RefSeq lists it as uncharacterized. Lineage: Eukaryota; Metazoa; Chordata; Actinopteri; Cypriniformes; Danionidae. The transcript is spliced from 3 exons. The record is from RefSeq and is a predicted model, not a curated record.